This is a non-coding RNA of Pantherophis guttatus, 2955 nucleotides long. NCBI's taxonomy places the organism in Eukaryota, Metazoa, Chordata, Lepidosauria, Squamata, Colubridae. The record is from RefSeq and is a predicted model, not a curated record.
CCUUCCAUUGAGAGACUUUCCCUCAGGAGUUUAGCGCUCCCGCGCUUCUCAAAAAGCAAUUCCCGCGCAUCUCGUGCGUGUGAAAAAUACGAGCGGAGGUGGGGGGAAAGGGGGUUAGGUUGCAAAGCGCGGCAACCCAUAAAACCACAUCCUCGGGAGCAAGACAGCCACCCACUCACUCACCCCCGGAAACAGGGAGAUCUCCGUCCCGUGGAUAGGGCAAGUCUCUCUGAAUUCCGAAUUAAAAGGAAUUUGGAGGCUAAAAGAAUAUAAAGAACAGUUGCUGGAAUUGGGUAUGUCUAGUUUAAUGAAAAGAAGGACGAGGGGUGACGCGAUAGCAGUCUUCCAGUACUUAACCGGCUGUCCCAAAGAAGAAGAGGUCAAGCUAAUUCUCCAAAGCCCCUGAAGGCAGGACAAGAAGCAACGCAUGGAAACCCUAACAAGGGAAGAACCAACCUAGAACUAAAGGAGAAGUUUCCCGACGGUUAGAACAAUUAAUCAGUGGAAUGACUUGCCUCCAGAAAUUGUGAAUGCUCCAACACUGGAGGUUUUUUAAGAAGAGAUUGGACAACCAUUUGUCUGAAAUGGUAAAUGGUUUCCUGCCUGAACAGCGGGGUUGGACUAGAAGAUCUCCAAGGUCCCUUGCAACUGUUGUUCUGUUUAUUAAACCCGUCUCAGGAGAGGCUGCAAAUGUUAACGUUUAGCAGUCCGGUUUGCAACGCUGGGGCCACCCGGUCCUGCCUUUAAUUCCCGCUUCGGGCGUGGGCGGCGUGUACAAGCCAGCCUUCCACCUCCUCCUCUCUUCUCCCCCCCCACCCCCACUUCCAGCCGCGUCUCCUUUCCUCGACUUUUUCUGCCUUCUCCGUUUCCCACCGCCGCCUCGUCGGGGGAGACCAUCCGGGAGCGCCGCUUUGCAGAAGAAUAACCUUUGCCAAAAGGUUCCGCCGUCCGCAGCUGGAUUGAGAUUGCGGCGCUCACCAGCUACCCGCGGGAGCCGUUCCCCUCUUGUCCCGCCUCGGGCUGGGCGGCGGCGGCGGCGGUGGCGGUGGUGGCGGCGCUUGAAUGACCGGACGCGAACAAGGCGCGCGGCAAAGCUUAAGAGCGGGGAAGGCGGCGCGAGCCGGAGCUGCAGCUGUUUGGCAAUCCCGUUUCCUCUUCGGCCUAGCGGCUGCAAGCAAAACCUCCAGCCCUGCAAGGAGGACCGGCACCUCACUAUCCUUUGACGAGAUAGGGGGAGACGCGCUCCGUUUUCCCUUCAGGAAAAAAGAGACGGACGACGACUCCCGUGUUGCAGCAGCAGCGGAGUUAGGAGGAAAAUCCUCGGUUUUUCUGCGGGACACCUGUCCCUCAAGGCGGGUUACAUCGGUUCCAGGUCUCAGAUGGAAGCUUCCCUGAAGAACUGGGAAACCAGAGAAUAUUUUAUUCCAUGCUGCUGAUUAAAGUACACAACAUUGCUGCAGGAGGAUGUCAACAGUAGGGCUUUGUAAAGCAGUGUACCUUAACGAGCAAUGACUUCCUCUUUCUGUUCCAUUGUUACUGCUGCAAUUGCAGUCUUAGGCUCACUUAACUUUGGAGUGAGUGCUGUUGUACACUGUAGAUAUUAUUUUUAAGCAAAUGUGCCUAGUUCACAACAGAAGUUCCCCCUUGCCCUACCCUAGUUGUUCCACAUGAUAAAGUAUAUGGGACUGUAGUUGGUGCCUGUUUCACCUUUGUGGUUUGCUUGUUUGUUUACUGUGGGGGUUUUUUUUUUCAUUCAUUUUAUGCACUUUGAACAUUGUAGUUGCUGAGAGGAGCACCACCAUGUGGAGGAGAAUUUUUGUGGUGGAAAUGUUAAUUUUGAACAUUCACUAGACUGCAGAGACAGAUAAGAUUAAUUUAUUUCACUGCAAAUGAAAACGUCCCUUAAAGUGAAACUGUACAAAAUAAAAGCAAAUUGUUUUAGUGGCAUCUCUUCUUCCAUACCUUUUGUUUUAUAUUCAGUGACAGAUAAAGGAUUACAAAUAUGUAUCAUGGGGACUGCAGAUUUCAGUACAUGGCUGCCAUAUUCUGGUUCCUUAAUAUGUUGCUUAUAGUAAUAAUGAGCCCAUAACAUGUUCCUGGGUGAUUCUUUUAAUUAAAAAUGGAAAUGGAAAGCCAACAUACUACAGAGUAAAAUAACUUUAUAUUUCAGUGAUCUGUGGGACCCAGAGGCAUACUCAGAAAAUCAAAUAGCCAGUGACUAGAGCCAAUCACGAUGUUUCUCUUUUGGCAAAGGGGUGCUUCAUCAUGGCUUGAAUGACCAUCAUGAUCAUAAAACAUUUUCUGGCAAUGAACUUGGACAUGCUCUUAAAAUUCCAGGUCUGCUCAUUGACUCAAAAGAUCGGGGUCCUUUGUUCUUUAAAUUAUGCUGUAAAGGAAGAGUUGGGUAACCUGUUUUGGAUUGUAGAUGCUCCAUUGUGGGUAGUGUGCAAAAACCUGAAUUUAAGAAACCAAUUGAGCCAAAGGAAAAUGGGCAAAGCCAGAAGGAAAAAGAUGGAUAAGGGAACAGCAAACAAGGAUAUAAAUAUUUAAUAAAUAAAGUACUGUACAUGAAUAAAAGCAACGGCCAUCCCAAGGGGUCCAGAAGAUGAACAUGAUAAUCCAUCCAUAUACUUGCCAGCCUUGGACAGUAUUUUUUCUUCAAACAUAAGUUAACUUGAGUUUGUAUUUUGUUUUGCUCAACUCAGUUUGUCCUCAAAUGAGGCAUUGGAACAGAAUGUCAAGUUUAAAUAGUUAAGAGUUCAAUUGUAAGAUACUUCUGAAGUUUAAUUUUACUUGAAUGCUUUACAUAACUACGGUAGUAAACACCUGUCAGUGUAUAUAUUUUUCAUUUAUCUUUUUUCAAACCCAGAUUCAGAUCUUAAUUCUUUUAUUUCUUUGAACUAUACAAUCUAACCUGUAUGAGAUUAGAUCAAAAUUAAAUGUAUAUUGCCUUUU